This is a long non-coding RNA of Parus major (Great Tit), 10172 nucleotides long. RefSeq lists it as uncharacterized. The record is from RefSeq and is a predicted model, not a curated record. The transcript has 3 exons. Lineage: Eukaryota; Metazoa; Chordata; Aves; Passeriformes; Paridae.
UACUCACAAGUUUCUGCUUGGCUUGGCAGGCGCCUGGCCCCUCCCUUCCCCUGUUUACAGCCAGCUUCAAGAAGUGAGAGGUUGUGCUCGGAGCUGUUGGAUCCGGCUCGCUUUGUAGUCCCUGGGUUUCGGAUUUACUGCUUAAAAUCCAUGGGCGUGCAGAGCUGCCAUUUCACACAUCUCUCUGUCAGAGUUGCAGAGCUGAUGGCUGAAGAGCACUCUCUGGAACCUGCUGCUGGCACACAGAGCUGCCCUCCAGUCUGCUGUCAGUACCAGAGGUUACUGAUUUGAAGGUUUGCACCUUCUACCAGAGGUGAAGGAUUGCAGAAGGGAGUUGGAGGAGAGGAUGGAUCCCUGCCUGGCAGUCACCACAAGCCAGAUACUCUGUGAAUGAUUAUCCCAAGAAGUUCUUAAUUACUGUGGAGUCACUCCAGCUCUUUAAAAUGUAUUGCCUGUACUGGUACUAUAAAUCCAUUUUCCUCUCCAUUUGCUGUGGAGGCCUUUGUACCCUGGGUUCUGUGUAAGUGAAGGCCCAGAGAUGCUGCUGUGGAUUAUUCCUCAUGCUGCUGGCUGUCACCUACAGCUGAGCCUGUGCCGUGGGGAUAUGGCUACAAAAGACCCUGAUAACCAAACAGGUCAGGUAUUAUAUGGCCUAGUUUUUAAAAUUCUGAUUAUCACUCUGGAGAAAGAGCCACAAAAAUGGUACAGAAUUGUCUGUCUUUGUAGUGGAUUCUGUGGCUUCCUAUUUGCAACAUUUGUUGUGAAUAAAUUUUUGCGCUUUGGCCAAAACAAGACUGUUUUUAUGACUUUAUUUCCAAAUGUGUUGAAAGCUUAUGUUGCUGUGUUAUUUACUGUACAGCACUUAAAUAACUUUAUAUACUGAACAUAUGCUAAAGCAGAAUUCACAAAUGGCAUCUCCCUCAGUGCAACUUCAGAAGAAUUUCAGAGAAGCUGCAGUUGGUGUCCUGCUGCAACCACGGAACUUUGCAAGGAAGACAGACGAUUUAAAAGUUUUGAGACAGAAUUAGGAAAAUUAUAAAUACUUGAAAUUGUGACAGUACCAGGAACAUUAAGCCUAAUUUGACUGAAAUCCAAAUACAAACCUUAAUCUAAGAAGCUAAAAGGAAAGCAAUGAAAGAUACAAAGCUUUUACUAGAGCUGAAGGAUUUCAGAAGCCUUUAGAGAUGUGUGUGCUCUAUUAUAUGGGUUAUGUUUCUGACACUUCCCAAUAUGGAUUUAAAGUAGUUUUUUAUUUAAAAAGUCAAGAUAUACAGGCAGUGUGGCAGUAGAUCUACUCUUUGAAUAGAUAAAAAUGCUUUAAAAACUCUUGACAGCUGCUUGUAAGAGGAGCUGUAUUAGAUAUUUUUCUGCUUUUUUUUUUUUUUCUAGUAAAUUUAUUGGCUGAACAGCUUAGGAGGUGUUUCAGGCUAAUUAUCCAUUUGCAAGCAACAACUGUGUCUCAAGUCUUUUGAUCAUGUGCCAAUUUUAAACUGAAAACAAACCUUGAUAUGACUGCACUUUUCACUUCUUUAGACUUUGUCUUUUGUAGUUAGUCAUAAAUUUUGCAUAGAUUUUAAUAUAUGUGCUCCUACUGUCAAAUGUGUGUUCCUUUUACCUAAAUGACACAGACAUCCUAAACCAGCUCUGCUUACUUAAGUGGUAAAGGAAGAGUGUUUUGCCAUAUCAGUUCCUCCAGCAUGUAUAUCUUUUCCUGUUAAAGCACUCCUAUUCCUUAAACAUUUCCCAUUAUCACUGGUGUCCUGACAGCAGUAAUCUUUUAGGAGGUCUAAUCUGAGACCAGGUUAAAAAUAAAAAUGAAAAAAACCCUAAAAUCCUGUGAGCUCAAUCUGACUUUUGUGCUCUGGUGACCAAAGGGUAAAAGAAACUGUUUUAAAUAAAUUUGUUCCCUUUCUAAAUAGGUAACUAGCCAAAUGCAUUUCAAGUAUUUGUUCAACUGAUCAAAUAUUGCUUUAGGUUUAGAAAACAAAUUAACCAAAUAUUUAAAGAAUUAGACAUUUUGUACCUGAACACUUCUCUGUGUCACUGCUUCUGCACUGAUGACCCUAAGUACUGUGGUCAAAAUAAAAGACCUUCUCCAUGAAAAUAAGUCAGACAAACAUUUAAUUUUUAUUUUUUUUCUUCUUCAUGAAACAACUAAGCUGUGGAAUUUCACACUCUUUCUAUUUUACCCUUUUACUUAAGAGAAAGUCACACCAGUGUGUCAAAUUUAAGUCCCUACUUCUGUAGAUACACUGAUUGGCUCACACACACACACACACACAUAUAUAUAUAUAUACAUAUAUAUAUAUAUAUAUAUACACACAUAUAUAUUGGACAGAAGCAUAACUUGAUAGUUGAACAUUAGUUUGAUUUUGAGAUAAACAUUAGUUUGAAUUUGAGAUAAACACAUUUCUGUGUGUGCAGUUUCAGAAAGCAGAACAGCCUGUCCUGACACUAAAUAAACACGGUUCCCAGGUGGAAAUUCUCAGUUUAGACUUCUAACUCAAUGGCUGUAGUUUAAGAUCCUGGCAGUGUUUGAAUCACUGGUAUUAGAUACCAUUCCUCUUUCUGCUCUAGAAAUAGAAACUGUGAACUCUUUUUUCACACUAUUAGGUAAGGUUUUCUACUAAAGAGCUAAUAACAGGAGCAGACUCAGACACACAUAGGCAUGGCAAAGACAUUUUUGCAUGCUACCUAUGACAAAGAGUUUUAAAUAGACCAGAUUAAAGUUUUGGCAGUAAGAUUUUAAAAUCUCAGUUGAUUCUUCCAAUUGCUCUGUUCCAUUCUGUUGGUAGUGUCUCCUGUCACAGUGUGUGAGCUUACAGACUUGGGUGAUUAUUGGAUGUUCUGUUUACAGAAUUGUGAAGCUUUUUUAAAGGUUGCUAGAGCUUAAUUCCUAGCACACCACUUGCUUUGAGUCAUUGCUGGACUGAAUGUAGUGAUGCAAGUCCGAAAAGAAAUGCAAAGAGAAGCACAGAGGAUGGCAACACUCGCUCUUCUUUAACUGCCUUGAUCACAUCUUGCAAUAUGUUUUUAUUUGUACAGUAUAUGAAGAUAACCCAUUUUCUUUAUUGUAUUAGGUAUCUUAAUGAAGUUAUGGGUAUGAGUUAUUAUUAGAUGGCAGCAUUUAUUUGUUUAAUUAGCUAAAUGAUACAAGUGAAAUUUCAUUUUGAACUUAGUCACCAUCUGUUAAACUGCUGAAGCAGUUCAAUAAUUGACUGCUACCAUUACCCACUCCAGAAUGAGCAAGCAAACCCAUGAAUUUUUCCCACAGAAGACUUGUUUCUGAUGUAUUUAUUAAGCACUGGUGGGUAGGUACUGAGAGAAGAUUUUCCUGCUCAUUCAAUACUGCAGGAAGCAAACCACCAUCUUCUCACUGGAGUUGUACCUUGAAAUGGCUACAAAACCUGCCCAGCUCCAGUGGAAGCUGUUUGUUCUCCCUGGAAGUGCUCAGAGUUUCUGAUGGGCAGGAAAUCAGUGUCUGUGCUGGACAGAAACACUGCAGGUCAGGGAGUCACAGCCCCAGCAGCCAGAGAACAUCAGCCAGAGGAGACACUGAUUGAACCAGCAGCUCGCCUGAGAGGAUGAAGAACACAGGGGGAGUUUCCCUUUUAUACAGAUAUUCUCAGCAUUGGGGAAAUGUGAGUCCUGUACACUGUACGACAUCUAUUAAUCUAUACUGGUUGUCUAUUGCCAUUUUUAAAAUUUACUUGCUUGUCUGUGUAAGAAAUCAAAAUUAUAUAUAGAUAUAGAUAUAUAGAUAUAUUUUAAUAAUAAGAAACACCUGAGUUCAGGCCCUUGGAAGCAAAAAUUAUGCUUUCUGCCUUUACUAGACCUCUACCGUCACUUUGAAAUUAGAGGGAAAUAACUGAAAGCCCAAUACAGCAAUGCAUGAUUCUGCUAAAAAGCAACAAAUACCAAAUGAUCUGUGGUAAUUUGAGAGCUGACAAGCUGCAAUUCAUCACCCCAGUAUGUAAAAGGUAGGAUAUACAUAGCAACAUUACGUAUUUUACACUUCUGUUUAUUUUAAGGAAUGGUGUCUUCAGCCAGACGGUGCAAAAAAUGGGAUCCCACAAGCUGCAUAUCCACUUACUUCCACCUUUCUAUCACCUCCUCCUUUUGCUGGCAGAAGUGUUCACAGUGAAUCAAAUUAACAAACUGAUUUGCUGUUAAUCUUUGUGAGGGGACAAAGAGAUAAUUUUCACCCAGAUGGGUUUACGAAACUGUGCAAACACCUGUGCCAAGGAAGAAGUGGGAAAAGAUGGGGAGUGUCUUUCAGCAGCGAUACUGACUUAUGUACAUUUAAAUUGUUGCUAAAACUAUUACCUGAGAUUUUCAUUCACAUGUGUAAAGCUUUCUUUAGAACCUAAACAGAAGCAUUUGGUUGUGUAAUCUUUCACUGUAAGCAGAAUAUGCUCCAUCUAACCUGUAAGCACAUUGUUUGUCCCACUGCAGUCACUAUGUGGCUGUAUUUCUUCCAUUAAGUUAAUAAUCUCUAUUCCAUAUAAUGUGGGUAUUCUAGUGUAAGGCAGGCAAGGAAGAAAUCAGAGCUCUGUGUAAUGACAUUAAGCUUUUAGGUUACAGACAGAGUAAAGGACUCACAGCUGCUUAACAUAUGCCCUCUGCCUGAACUCGCUUUAUCACUUGGUAUCUGACUGCUCUCAACAUAUAAAAAGUUGCUGUGAUUGAUAGUCAGUUAUACAGUAUUUGUCAGGGUGAACUGAAUCAUUAUGUGUAUAGAUUCAGGAAUAUAGAAAAAUAAAGCUGAAAGAAGAACAACAAAAACUGACAUCUUUCCCAUUCAUUAAGCUUUUCUAAGGCAACUGUUUUUGUUUGCAGGAGUUAGUGGUUGCUGGUUUUUCUAACCAGCAAUUGCUGAGUGAUUUAGAGUACAUCUCUGCUCUUUUGUUUGGAUUUCAUUUGUGAAACCAUUUAGAGUUAUAAAACUGUCAACUUAAGAACAUUCUAUAUAUUUUGCCAGAGAGGGCCUCCUGUAUGCAGAAUUUAUGCAUUUCUCUCCAUUUUGUGUGCUGUUUGAAUUUUCAUUAUACAUCACUGUUCUUUUUCUGGUUAUUUGAAUAAUUCCCACUAAUUUAGAGCAGCAGAAAUCCUGGAACUAAUUAUGAAAUUACAUCUCAGAUCAGUCAUCAGAUAUUGCUAACCACAACAUCUCACCCUUGGCCAAACCUAGCCCAGCAAUGCAGUAAUAGAAUGUUCUGCUGAUGCCUAAAAACUCUUGAAAUUUAGAAACCCUGACUGCAGCUAGGAUUGAAUCAUGCACCUAAACAUUAGAAAGCAUAGACCAGAACUGUUAAUGAUGUUAAUUACAGUAGUUAAACCAUGCUAUGGUACCUUUCUAAACUCUCAGAUACCCUAAAAUAAUGACAAGUUAGGAGUUGAAAAAUGUUAUGCAAACUUGUAUUACCUACUACUCGGAGCUUUGCUCACUUGUUUCUCUCCUGCAGAAUUCCUUUGGUGGCUAAGCUCAGUUUUACAUUGUGUGGAAGCUGUAAGGCCCAAGUCUAUCAUCAUUCUGCACAACCUCAAUCUCUCCUGGCCUUGCUGCUGGCCCUGUUUCAUGUGUUUCAUAUAUUUAUUUCAGAUUUUCUAUUCCUAUUGUUCAUAGGAUAUGGCAGAUUUAAGUCAUCAAACACUUUAAUUAUAUAAAUGUGGCUGUGAUAACUUUCUGUAACUUAAAAAUUGGAAUUUACUAUGAAUUUGCACCUCUUAUUGUUCCUGGAUGCUUGCUUGGUUAUGUGCAGUAGGAGAUAAGCCAGUGCUUCAAAACUGCUUUGGGAUUUUUGGAGUCAAAAGUCUUUAAGGUUCAAUGACAGAUUUUAGGAAAGCUUUAAAUAACUGAAGAGUUCACUCAGGGAAUCUGGAAGAAUCUGUGCAGGAAGCUCAAUGUUUUGUCUUUGCUAUCUUAAUAGAAAAACAGGUUCUGAUUUUCCUGGCUUCCCUAACUUUUCCAGUGUCCCCUGUUGUCCUUGACUUCAAAUUUCAGUAACCAUGUUUCCUGCAUCCCUUGCAGGAGAUCUUAUCUCCAUUUUCCACCUUAUGACCUUCCAGUACAAUUUUAGUUCCCAGUAUUGCAAGGCAAAGUAUUAACUUUUAAAGAAAAUUUUUAAAAAGAAAAGAAAAUAUGAGGAAAUUUCUAUGUGAAACUUGAUUUUUUGGGUUUUUUUUUUUUUGGGGGGGGGGUUCCCUUUGGAGACUGCAAUUUUACUUAACAUGUUUUAGGAAACAUAUUGACUUUUACUUCAAUCUUCAACAGAGAAGUAUCAUAUCUGCUUGCUCAUUUCGCAUUCACAAUAAUGGAAUGUCUCUCAUUAAGGUAGAAUAUUUUCAUUCUGAUUGUACUUUACUUUUUCUGUUUCAAAGCAUAUUUUAUUGCUUGCAAUUACAAAAAGAAAUAUGAAGCUUUUCUGUUGCCAUUCAGCAGUGAAUUCCGACAUCUUGGCUUUUUUCCAGACUAGUUAAUUUUUUUUAAAUUUUGUUUUGAAGAUCAGGAUUUCCCUUGAGAUGGACCUUCCAUUUGCUGUUAAUCUCACUCUUCCUUUGCUCUCCUUUUUUUCUGCCAGCCAUAAACUACUUCACUUUCAAAGCUCUGCAGUCUAAUCCCACUGUAGCCAUUAUCCCUCUGCACUAUGGAAAUGUUGACUCUUGGUUCAGUAACAGCUCAAACAUUUACCUUUGACCAUCUGUGUUUUCUAAUGACCAUCUCCAGUCCUGUGCUGCCCUGUGUGCCAUGAAGAAGUUCCUUGUUGUUCCUAUCUUAAAACUUUCUUUUGAUCCCUGUAAAAUUACAUGAUAACAGAACAGGUAUGUGAUAAAGUUAAUCCCCCUCUUGGUGGGUCCAGGCUUUCUUGUAUUUCAUGUAUUUUUCCAUCUGUGGUUAUCCACUCUCUUUUGUAUUUAACUUUAAAAUUACGUGGGCAGCUGUUGUUUCCUGUUGUAUUUAUACUUGGUUUAUCAAAUAUGGAAAAUAUAAGUUCAGCAUGUAAAGCCUGGCUUUAAAACUUAUCAUGAGUUGUAAAUUCUGUCCAUGUAAAUUCUAGUACUCAUAAAUAUACUUAAGCUACUUAUUAAUGAAAUGUAAAUUAAUACAAUUUUAUUUUAGGGUAACUUGCUAGAUGCUUAAUUCCAAAAUGAAGCAAACACUACCAACACCUUGUUUUGUGCUGCUUUUACAAUGAUACUUUUCAGUGUGGUCUGCUGAAAUACAAACAGGUUUUAUGGAGCAUUUUUACUAAACAGUCAACAGGUUUUAAUUUAGCUUCUUAAAUCAUAAUUGUUUUUCAAUUUUCUGCUCUGCCUCACAAACGCAUAAUGAAGGCACACCUGAUGCUAUAAAAACCAGAUGUCAUUUCAGUAUUUUCAGCUGUGUGAUAAAUUUGAGAGCUUAAAAGUUGGUAUCAUAGAUGUAUAGUUACCAGAGAGCUCACAAGAACAGAAAGUAUGUAGAGUGUUGCUAAAUAAAUAGGAUUUUGGAAUGGGUUGCACUUUAUUUUCAGAGACUUUGAAAAUGAUGGAUGGAAUUUUCUUAAGGAACUUUCAGGAGACAAUUUCAAACCUACAAACAAAUUCAAAUUCUUUCCCCCUACCAGUCAUGUAAGUACCACUUGCUCAUGGGGAUUUGAAGAGCAGCAUGCAGACCUGAAGGAAAGUUAGAUUGUGUGAUGCAUAUCAGCUCUUAAAAACAUUCCUCCUUCACCACUCUCAUUGAGAAAGAAUUUCAUAUGAUGUUCAGUGGCAACUCAGCUUGCCUGAAAUACAGUUUUUCAGUCCAGCUUUAUAGUACUUGUUGCUCUAAACAUUUUCAAAUUCUUCAUACAGGUGUUCAAAGGUCUCUUAGUGAAAAUUAUAUAUAUUUAGAAGAAAGGUCAUUUCACACAAACUCAUUGUCACAAUCUCAUUCAUCCAUCUCUGGUUAUCACUAGGCAGAAAGUCAAAUGCAAAAAUCAGUAAUGCCCAUCACAUUUCUUCCUUAUUUUGUUUAGAGGUGUCUCUCUUUUCACAGCCAGAGGGUCCAGUUCUCUGUCUCCAAACCAUUUAUCCCACUGGGAAGCAAACCAAGGGACAAGACACGUGCUGAGGUUGUUGAUACCCUUAUGCUCAGGAUGAAGCUGCAGGACAGUUCAGAGGCUGCUCAUGUCCCCAGUGCUGCUGUGGCUGUCUAUUUUAGGGUGACUGAAUCAUGAAAUGAUCACAUUCUGCUAAAGAAAUGAAUCCUGCCCACUCCAUUUUCUUGAGUGUCUUCUCUUGGUCUUGUUCAUCACAAAUUGAAAGUUGCGUGUUCCUGCCUGCGUGUGCAGCUGAGUGUAUAUAAAUGUAGGUAUGGAUGGAUAUUCCAUUCUGGAAUAUUUAGCUAGGUUUUGAAGAAUAUCUUGGUAUAACUGACUAGAAAUGGUGCUGGUUUUAUUAAGAAGUUAAGGAAAAAAUGUUCUGCUAAGUCUGUGAGAAUAUGGAGGGUUUGAGAGUAGUGAGCAUGUCUCAGGACAUUCAUUCCCUGUAGCUGUACAUCCUGUUAACUCUGCAGCUGAAAACACUGACAGCUUGUUGGGUCAGGAGGUGUGAAGCUUAUUAUGGGUUUUGUUGACCUUGUAGUUUUUAACAAAAAUGUCUUCCUAAGUCAAAUAUAAAGAUUCCUGUUUGAAUUGUAGGGAAAGCCACCUUUCCUAAGGAUCAAUAACCACUUAUUUUCUAGUUAAUAUUUAGUAUUCAGCUUCACUGAUCUUUCCCAUAAAUGGCAAAAAUGUACCUUCUCCAGCUGUAUGUUAAUUAUGUUUCAUUUUAAGUCAGAAUGGGUACAUUACAGAGAAACUCUCAAUUUGAGACUGAGCAAACUAAAUAUACUCAGCUGAGUGAAUCCAGCACUGUGAACAUGAACCACUGGUAUAAAUAGGAAAGGAGACACCUUGAAGUUUUACCAUACUCAAGAAGUGUCAGAUCAUGUUCAUUUGAAAGGGAUGGCAACACUCUUUUUCCCCUAGUGCAGGCAUGAAUAUUGCUUCACCAAACACAGGCUGUCCAGGUGUUCAACAGACUCUGGUGUUUGCACCUUUAUUGUUGAAUUUCAGCAUUUCUUGAAUGGCCAUUUGACUUGUUUUUUAUAAUCUCACGUCUCUUCCUUCAUAAAGACUUAAAUGGGGGAAAUUAAAACAAAGUGUUUGUCCUUCCAACUUUAAAAUACUUCCACCUACUUUUCUGACAGAUUCAAAACUUUAUGGACUGUUUUCAAACAGCUCUUUUACCAGCAAGCAUUGCUGUAAGGAUAAUUGGCAUGAACUAUUAGGAACUCUUUAUUAUGAUGAUGUGUUUCAUUGUUCAGGACAAAGCACUCCUGAUGAUACAAGACCUCCAAGAGUGGUAGAAAUGUGAGAAAUUGGUUCUCUACAGUCCUUUUCUGUUGUAUCCAACUCGGCAAAGCAACAUGGGAUUCUUAUAGAUCUUCCAGAGGGAGAGUCACUGCACAGAACUGGCUUUAAUAGCAUUGACAUGUUUGAAAAACCCUGGUAUGACUGCUAGAAUAUCUGUAUUUGACCACAACUUCUGAUGGAGAAGAUGCAUUUCUUUCUAUGUUGUGUGUUUGGAAAGAACAUAUUUCAUUAACAGUGGUCACUCAUGCCACUUGGCUUCUGAAAAAGGCAUCCCUAUGAAAAAAAUGUCCCAAAUUUUAAAGAUAAUAUUUAUAUUUUUGCUGAGGGAGUAAUGGGGAGGAAUAUCACUUGUGCUUGAGAAUGUCAGUAUAAGUGAUAUGCGUUGUGUAAGUCCCACCUAAGCUUUCCUUGUCUGAAAUGUUAAAUAAAGACUUUAAUGAGUUCCUCUGCAUAAGGAUAAAUUUAGCUCCAAGAGCAGUGCAAAGCAGACUUGUUGAUUGGUGUGGGAAUGAUUGCUGUGAUUCCUGAGCUAUGAAGGUGCUGUCAUUUCUGCAAAGGAUCUGUGCAGGGGAGGCAAAACAGAGAACUGACUCUGCAAAAUGAAUUGUGGGUCUGUGGGUAUGCCCAGAACUUCAUGUAGGGUCCUAUUCUAUUAUGAAUCAUAGCUUUGCUGUUUUAUUGUAAAUGACUGUUCUUUAAUUAUAACUUCAGCUAUAAAUUUGUGAUUUUUUUUUGUGUGAAAAGUUCAAAGCUGGAUUAAUAAAUUAGUCCAGAAACUUCUUACUAUUUAAA